Molecule: ribosomal RNA, 497 nt
Filed under: uncultured bacterium
Lineage: Bacteria
Description: partial 16S ribosomal RNA
Rfam family: Bacterial small subunit ribosomal RNA
Source: RNAcentral
GAUGAACGCUGGCGGCGUGCCUAAUACAUGCAAGUCGAGCGAACAGACGAGGAGCUUGCUCCUCUGACGUUAGCGGCGGACGGGUGAGUAACACGUGGAUAACCUACCUAUAAGACUGGGAUAACUUCGGGAAACCGGAGCUAAUACCGGAUAAUAUAUUGAACCGCAUGGUUCAUUAGUGAAAGACGGUUUUGCUGUCACUUAUAGAUUGAUCCGCGCCGCAUUAGCUAGUUGGUAAGGUAACGGCUUACCAAGGCAACGAUGCGUAGCCGACCUGAGAGGGUGAUCGGCCACACUGGAACUGAGACACGGACAAGACUACUACGGGAGGCAGCAGUAGGGAAUAUUCCGCAAUGGGCGAAAGCCUGACGGAGCAACGCCGCGUGAGUGAUGAAGGUCUUCGGAUCGUAAAACUCUGUUAUUAGGGAAGAAAAAAUGUGUAAGUAACUAUGCACGUCUUGACGGUACCUAAUCAGAAAGCAACGGCUAACUACGUG